This 926-nucleotide ribosomal RNA is filed under the name Salmonella enterica subsp. enterica serovar Cerro. RNAcentral's name for it is "bacterial SSU rRNA". It matches the Rfam family "Bacterial small subunit ribosomal RNA", at positions 269 to 1188 of the family's 1533-position model. Lineage: Bacteria; Pseudomonadati; Pseudomonadota; Gammaproteobacteria; Enterobacterales; Enterobacteriaceae. The record is from RNAcentral.
CAAGGCGACGAUCCCUAGCUGGUCUGAGAGGAUGACCAGCCACACUGGAACUGAGACACGGUCCAGACUCCUACGGGAGGCAGCAGUGGGGAAUAUUGCACAAUGGGCGCAAGCCUGAUGCAGCCAUGCCGCGUGUAUGAAGAAGGCCUUCGGGUUGUAAAGUACUUUCAGCGGGGAGGAAGGUGUUGUGGUUAAUAACCGCAGCAAUUGACGUUACCCGCAGAAGAAGCACCGGCUAACUCCGUGCCAGCAGCCGCGGUAAUACGGAGGGUGCAAGCGUUAAUCGGAAUUACUGGGCGUAAAGCGCACGCAGGCGGUCUGUCAAGUCGGAUGUGAAAUCCCCGGGCUCAACCUGGGAACUGCAUUCGAAACUGGCAGGCUUGAGUCUUGUAGAGGGGGGUAGAAUUCCAGGUGUAGCGGUGAAAUGCGUAGAGAUCUGGAGGAAUACCGGUGGCGAAGGCGGCCCCCUGGACAAAGACUGACGCUCAGGUGCGAAAGCGUGGGGAGCAAACAGGAUUAGAUACCCUGGUAGUCCACGCCGUAAACGAUGUCUACUUGGAGGUUGUGCCCUUGAGGCGUGGCUUCCGGAGCUAACGCGUUAAGUAGACCGCCUGGGGAGUACGGCCGCAAGGUUAAAACUCAAAUGAAUUGACGGGGGCCCGCACAAGCGGUGGAGCAUGUGGUUUAAUUCGAUGCAACGCGAAGAACCUUACCUGGUCUUGACAUCCACGGAAGUUUUCAGAGAUGAGAAUGUGCCUUCGGGAACCGUGAGACAGGUGCUGCAUGGCUGUCGUCAGCUCGUGUUGUGAAAUGUUGGGUUAAGUCCCGCAACGAGCGCAACCCUUAUCCUUUGUUGCCAGCGGUCCGGCCGGGAACUCAAAGGAGACUGCCAGUGAUAAACUGGAGGAAGGUGGGGAUGACGUCAA